RNAcentral lists this transfer RNA (86 nucleotides) under Rhodospirillales bacterium. Its description in RNAcentral is "tRNA-Leu". It matches the Rfam family "tRNA". Rfam says of the family: Transfer RNA (tRNA) molecules are approximately 80 nucleotides in length. The record is from RNAcentral. Lineage: Bacteria; Pseudomonadati; Pseudomonadota; Alphaproteobacteria; Rhodospirillales.
GCCCGGGUGGUGGAACUGGUAUACAUAGCAGACUUAAAAUCUGCCGCCUACAUGGCUUGCCGGUUCGAGUCCGGCCCUGGGCACCA